Molecule: ribosomal RNA, 1442 nt
Filed under: uncultured Bordetella sp.
Lineage: Bacteria; Pseudomonadati; Pseudomonadota; Betaproteobacteria; Burkholderiales; Alcaligenaceae
Description: partial 16S-23S ribosomal RNA intergenic spacer
Rfam family: Bacterial small subunit ribosomal RNA
Source: RNAcentral
AGUUUGAUCCUGGCUCAGAUUGAACGCUGGCGGGAUGCUUUACACAAGCAAGUCGAACGGCAGCUACUGACUUCGGUCUGGUGGCGAGUGGCGAACGGGUGAGUAAUGUAUCGGAACGUGCCUAUAGCGGGGAUAACUACGAAAGCGUAGCUAAUACCGCAUACGCCCUUCGGGGAAAGCGGGGACCUUCGGGCCUUCGCACUAGAGCGGCUGAUAUCGGAUUAGCUAGUUGGUGGGUAACGGCUCACCAAGGCGACGAUCCGUAGCUGGUUUGAGAGGACGACCAGCCACACUGGGACUGGAGACAUCGGCCCAGACUCCUACGGGAGGUGCAGUGGGGAAUUUGACAAUGGGGGAAACCUGAUCCAGCCAUCCUCCGCGUGAUGGGCCUUCGGGCCACUUUGCAGGAAGAAACGGCACGGGAUAAUACCCCGUGCAACUGACGGUACCUGCAGAAUAAGCACCGGCUAACCACGUGCCAGCAGCCGCGGUAAUACGUAGGGUGCAAGCGUUAAUCGGAAUUACUGGGCGUAAAGUGCGCAGGCGGUUCGGAAAGAAAGAUGAAAUCCCAGAGCUUAACUUUGAACUGCAUUUAACUACCGAGCGAUAGAGUGUGUCAGAGGGAGGUGUGAAUCGCGUGUAGCAGUGAAAUGGGCAGUAGAUAUGCGGAGGAACACCGAUGGCGAAGGCAGCCUCCUGAUAACACUGAUGCUCAUGCACGAAAGCGGGGAGCAAACAGGAUUAGAUACCCUGGUAGUCCACGCCCAAACGAUGUCACCAGUUGCCAGCCUUCGCCUCAGGCGCAGCUAACGCAAGUUGACCGCCUGGGAGUACGGUCGCAAGAUUAAAACUCAAAGGAAUUGACGGGACCCGCACAGCGGUGGAUGAUGUGGAUUAAUUCGAUGCAACGCGAAAACCUUACCUACCCUGACAUGUUCAACCUGAAGAGAUUUGGGGAGUGCUCGCAAGAGAACCGGAACACAGGUGCUGCAUGGCUGUCGUCAAAUGUGUCGUGAGAUGUUGGGUUAAGUCUCGCAACGAGCGCAACCCUUGUCAUUAGUUGCUACGAAAGGGCACUCUAAUGUAGACUGCCGGUGACAAACCGGAGGAAGGUGGGGAUGACGUCAAGUCCUCAUGGCCCUUAUGGGUAGGGAUUCACAUGUCAUACAAUGGUCGGGACAGAGGGUCGCCAACCCAUGAGGGGGAGCCAAUCCCAGAAACCCGAUCGUGGUCCGGAUCGCAGUCUGCAACUCGACUGCGUGAAGUCGGAAUCGCUAGUAAUCGCGGAUCAGCAUGUCGCGGUGAAUACGUUCCCGGGUCUUGUACACACCGCCCGUCACACCAUGGGAGCUUUACCAGAAGUAGUUAGCCUAACCGUAAGGAGGGCGAUUACCACGGUAGGAUUCAUGACUGGGUGGAAGCUCUCUGUAACAAGGUAACAA